Molecule: ribosomal RNA, 222 nt
Filed under: uncultured bacterium
Lineage: Bacteria
Description: partial 16S ribosomal RNA
Rfam family: Bacterial small subunit ribosomal RNA
Source: RNAcentral
GAUCAUGGCUCAGGAUGAACGCUGGCGGUGUGCUUAACACAUGCAAGUCGAGCGAAGCAAUUUAAGUGAAGUUUUCGGAUGGAUCUUAGAUUGACUGAGCGGCGGACGGGUGAGUAACGCGUGGAUAACCUGCCUCACACAGGGGGAUAACAGUUAGAAAUGACUGCUAAUACCGCAUAAGCGCACAGUACCGCAUGGUAUAGUGUGAAAAACUCCGGUGGU